Molecule: ribosomal RNA, 312 nt
Filed under: Triticum aestivum (bread wheat)
Lineage: Eukaryota; Viridiplantae; Streptophyta; Magnoliopsida; Poales; Poaceae
Description: partial small subunit ribosomal RNA
Source: RNAcentral
AUGGGCCUCUUCGGCAGCAGCAAUGGCAAGGGCAAGGGCACCCCCGGUGCCUCGUCAUCCCGUGCUCCCCCUCCCCCUCCAUCGCCGGCGCGUUUCCGCCCUGAACGCCGGCGCCUGCACAUCUCGGUGCACCAAGCGCGCGGGCGCACGACGACGAGGUGCGCCGGCGCCGCGCGCUGCUCACGCCGGAGCAGCGUCGGUUGCCUGAGUACGCCGCCGACUCUCCUAACUGGGAGGCUUGGUUCGCCCUCGAACACGAGGAGCAACGGCGCUCGGGUGUCGACGCCGUCCCGCCGCCGCCCCCGGAGGUAG